UAUGACGGGUAUCCGGCCUGAGAGGGUGAACGGACACACUGGAACUGAGACACGGUCCAGACUCCUACGGGAGGCAGCAGUAGGGAAUAUUGCUCAAUGGGCGAAAGCCUGAAGCAGCAACGCCGCGUGGAGGAUGAAGGUUUUAGGAUUGUAAACUCCUUUUGUUAGAGAAGAUAAUGACGGUAUCUAACGAAUAAGCACCGGCUAACUCCGUGCCAGCAGCCGCGGUAAUACGGAGGGUGCAAGCGUUACUCGGAAUCACUGGGCGUAAAGAGUGCGUAGGCGGGAAAAUAAGUCAGAUGUGAAAUCCUAUGGCUUAACCAUAGAACUGCAUUCGAAACUAUUUUUCUAGAGUGUGGGAGAGGUAGGUGGAAU
This 375-nucleotide ribosomal RNA is filed under the name uncultured Helicobacter sp. RNAcentral's name for it is "bacterial SSU rRNA". It matches the Rfam family "Bacterial small subunit ribosomal RNA", at positions 275 to 667 of the family's 1533-position model. The record is from RNAcentral. Lineage: Bacteria; Pseudomonadati; Campylobacterota; Epsilonproteobacteria; Campylobacterales; Helicobacteraceae.